RNAcentral lists this ribosomal RNA (457 nucleotides) under uncultured bacterium. RNAcentral's name for it is "bacterial SSU rRNA". It matches the Rfam family "Bacterial small subunit ribosomal RNA", at positions 40 to 507 of the family's 1533-position model. The record is from RNAcentral.
CGGCGUGCUUAACACAUGCAAGUCGACGAAGCAGUUCGGAAGCUUGCUUCUGAACUGACUGAGUGGCGGACGGGUGAGUAACGCGUGGGUAACCUGCCUCAUACAGGGGGAUAACAGUUAGAAAUGACUGCUAAUACCGCAUAAGCGCACGGUAUCGCAUGAUACAGUGUGAAAACUCCGGUGGUAUGAGAUGGACCCGCGUCUGAUUAGCUAGUUGGUGAGGUAACGGCCCACCAAGGCGACGAUCAGUAGCCGACCUGAGAGGGUGACCGGCCACAUUGGGACUGAGACACGGCCCAAACUCCUACGGGAGGCAGCAGUGGGGAAUAUUGCACAAUGGGCGAAAGCCUGAUGCAGCAACGCCGCGUGAGCGAAGAAGGUCUUCGGAUUGUAAAGCUCUGUCCUUGGGGAAGAAUAAAUGACGGUACCCUUGGAGGAAGCCCCGGCUAACUACGUG